GCUCAGGACGGACGCCGGCGGCGCGCUCUAAUACACGCAAGUCGUGCGAAGUUUUUUCCGGCGCCCGCACUACAAAAACUUAACGGCGAACGGGAGAGUAACACGUAAAGAACCAGCCUCAUAGACUGGGACAACUAUUGGAAACGAUAGCUAAUACCGGAUAACAGCAUUAACUGCAUGGUUGAUGUUUGAAAGUUAGGUUUUGCUAACACUAUGAGAUGGCUUUGCGGUGCAUUAGCUAGUUGGUGGGGUAAAGGCCUACCAAGGCGACGAUGCAUAGCCGACCUGAGAGGGUGAUCGGCCACACUGGGACUGAGACACGGCCCAGACUCCUACGGGAGGCAGCAGUAGGGAAUCUUCCGCAAUGGGCGAAAGCCUGACGGAGCAACGCCGCGUGAGUGAAGAAGGAUUUCGGUUCGUAAAGCUCUGUUGUUAGGGAAGAAUGAUUGUGUAGUAACUAUACACAGUACAGACGGUACCUAACCAGAAAGCCACGGCUAACUACGUGCCAGCAGCCGCGGUAAUACGUAGGUGGCAAGCGUUGUCCGGAAUUAUUGGGCGUAAAGCGCGCGCAGGUGGUUUAAUAAGUCUGAUGUGAAAGCCCACGGCUCAACCGUGGAGGGUCAUUGGAAACUGUUAAACUUGAGUGCAGGAGAGAAAAGUGGAAUUCCUAGUGUAGCGGUGAAAUGCGUAGAGAUUAGGAGGAACACCAGUGGCGAAGGCGGCUUUUUGGCCUGUAACUGACACUGAGGCGCGAAAGCGUGGGGAGCAAACAGGAUUAGAUACCCUGGUAGUCCACGCCGUAAACGAUGAGUGCUAAGUGUUGGUCUCAUAAGAGAUCAGUGCUGCAGCUAACGCAUUAAGCACUCCGCCUGGGGAGUACGACCGCAAGGUUGAAACUCAAAGGAAUUGACGGGAACCCGCACAAGCGGUGGAGCAUGUGGUUUAAUUCGAAGCAACGCGAAGAACCUUACCAAGUCUUGACAUACUGUGAGGACACAAGAGAUUGUGUUGUUCUGACCUUUGGUUAGACACAGAUACAGGUGGUGCAUGGUUGUCGUCAGCUCGUGUCGUGAGAUGUUGGGUUAAGUCCCGCAACGAGCGCAACCCUUAUAUCUAGUUGCCAGCAGUAAGAUGGGGACUCUAGAUAGACUGCCAGUGAUAAACUGGAGGAAGGUGGGGAUGACGUCAAAUCAUCAUGCCCCUUAUGACUUGGGCUACACACGUGCUACAAUGGAUAGGAACAAAGAGAAGCGAGCUCGCGAGAGUAAGCAAACCUCACAAAACUAUUCUCAGUUCGGAUUGUAGUCUGCAACUCGACUACAUGAAGCUGGAAUCGCUAGUAAUCGCGAAUCAGAAUGUCGCGGUGAAUACGUUCCCGGGUCUUGCACACACCGCCCGUC
Molecule: ribosomal RNA, 1403 nt
Filed under: uncultured bacterium
Lineage: Bacteria
Description: 16S ribosomal RNA
Rfam family: Bacterial small subunit ribosomal RNA
Source: RNAcentral